UGAGUUCAAGAGUACGUGAACCGUUCAGGGGUAAACCUGAGAAACCCGAAAGGUCGAAUGGGGAAAUUCAUUCGCGUUUCGACAUCGGAGUAGAGCGAUUAUCGCGACGGAUAGUAGAACUUUUGUUUUACUGCUGCGCUUUUCGUUCGUCUUGCCGUUGUCGAACGCGUGCACUUUUCCUCUAGUAGGACGUCGCGAUCCGUUGGGUGUUUGUCUAAAAAUCGGAGCGGUGCCCACGAGACAUUUACACGUCACGUGGACCUCCGAAUUUUCGACAAACUCGCUCGACGGUAUACUAAAGGCGCGAGGCCGCUAGUGUUGUGCGUGCGAAAAUCGCGUGCAACAGAAUUAGCGUUCGGCCCGUAGCAAGCACGUACCGUUUGACGGCGAUCGGACCUAGCGCCGAUUCUGUCGCGGGACGACUGUUGGUUNACGGUGUUCUCGAACAGACCUCGUUGAAACGCCAAUCGGCGACGCUAUAGCUUUGGGU
This 490-nucleotide ribosomal RNA is filed under the name Paranaita crotchi. Its description in RNAcentral is "partial 28S ribosomal RNA". Lineage: Eukaryota; Metazoa; Arthropoda; Insecta; Coleoptera; Chrysomelidae. The record is from RNAcentral.